RNAcentral lists this ribosomal RNA (497 nucleotides) under uncultured bacterium. Its description in RNAcentral is "partial 16S ribosomal RNA". It matches the Rfam family "Bacterial small subunit ribosomal RNA", at positions 28 to 507 of the family's 1533-position model. The record is from RNAcentral.
GAUGAACGCUGGCGGCGUGCCUAAUACAUGCAAGUCGAGCGAACAGACGAGGAGCUUGCUCCUCUUACGUUAGCGGCGGACGGGUGAGUAACACGUGGAUAACCUACCUAUAAGACUGGGAUAACUUCGGGAAACCGGAGCUAAUACCGGAUAAUAUAUUGAACCGCAUGGUUCAAUAGUGAAAGACGGUUUUGCUGUCACUUAUAGAUGGAUCCGCGCCGCAUUAGCUAGUUGGUAAGGUAACGGCUUACCAAGGCAACGAUGCGUAGCCGACCUGAGAGGGUGAUCGGCCACAGUGGAACUGAGACACGGUCCAGACUCCUAAGGGAGGCAGCAGUAGGGAAUCUUACGCAAUGGGCGAAAGCUUGACGGAGCAACGCCGCGUGAGUGAUGAAGGUCUUCGGAUCGUAAAACUCUGUUAUUAGGGAAGAACAAAUGUGUAAGUAACUAUGCACGUCUUGAGGGUACCUAAUCAGAAAGCCACGGCUAACUACGUG